This 492-nucleotide ribosomal RNA is filed under the name uncultured bacterium. RNAcentral describes it as "partial 16S ribosomal RNA". It matches the Rfam family "Bacterial small subunit ribosomal RNA", at positions 29 to 507 of the family's 1533-position model. The record is from RNAcentral.
AGUGAACGCUGGCGGUAGGCCUAACACAUGCAAGUCGAACGGCAGCACAGUAAGAGCUUGCUCUUACGGGUGGCGAGUGGCGGACGGGUGAGGAAUACAUCGGAAUCUACUUUUUCGUGGGGGAUAACGUAGGGAAACUUACGCUAAUACCGCAUACGACCUACGGGUGAAAGCAGGGGAUCUUCGGACCUUGCGCGAUUGAAUGAGCCGAUGUCGGAUUAGCUAGUUGGCGGGGUAAAGGCCCACCAAGGCGACGAUCCGUAGCUGGUAUGAGAGGAAGGUUCGCCACACUGGAACUGAGACACGGUCCAGACUCCUACGGGAGGCAGCAGUGGGGAAUAUUGGACAAUGGGGGAAAGCCUGAUCCAGCAAUACCGCGUGGAGGAAGAAGGCCUUCGGGUGGUAAAGCCCUUUUGUUGGGAAAGAAAAGCAGCAGGUUAAUACCCCGCUGUUCUGACGGUACCCAAAGAAGAAGCACCGGCUAACUUCGUG